AGGGUCGGCUUGCUCAGAGGAGCAGAGAGGUCAUUGGAUCAACAACAACGCCCCAAUUGAUGUUUCUUGGCUUGCGAUGAGGACUCUUUCAACUUUUGAACAAAAUUAAAAGUUGAAUCAGUAUGACAGGAUCGAGCGAGCUAGGAUAAGGCCCUAUCCCUCGACUCCUCUCAGCUAUAAUCCGUGGGGUUACGUAGGCGUGCCACUAUUGGAUAUGAGACC
RNAcentral lists this long non-coding RNA (222 nucleotides) under Prunus persica (peach). RNAcentral's name for it is "long non-coding RNA (PPER_LNC006298)". The record is from RNAcentral. Lineage: Eukaryota; Viridiplantae; Streptophyta; Magnoliopsida; Rosales; Rosaceae.